AUUGAACGCUGGCGGAAUGCUUUACACAUGCAAGUCGAACGGCAGCACGGACUUCGGUCUGGUGGCGAGUGGCGAACGGGUGAGUAAUACAUCGGAACGUGCCCAGUCGUGGGGGAUAACGUAGCGAAAGCUACGCUAAUACCGCAUACGAUCUAAGGAUGAAAGCGGGGGACCGUAAGGCCUCGCACGAUUGGAGCGGCCGGUGGCAGAUUAGGUAGUUGGGGGGGUAAAGGCUCACCAAGCCGACGGUCUGUAGCUGGUCUGAGAGGACGACCAGCCACACUGGGACUGAGACACGGCCCAGACUCCUACGGGAGGCAGCAGUGGGGAAUUUUGGACAAUGGGCGCAAGCCUGAUCCAGCCAUUCCGCGUGCAGGAUGAAGGCCCUCGGGUUGUAAACUGCUUUUGUACGGAACGAAAAGGCUCUGGUUAAUACCUGGGGCUCAUGACGGUACCGUAAGAAUAAGCACCGGCUAACUACGUGCCAGCCGCCGCAGUAA
RNAcentral lists this ribosomal RNA (500 nucleotides) under uncultured bacterium. RNAcentral describes it as "partial 16S ribosomal RNA". It matches the Rfam family "Bacterial small subunit ribosomal RNA", at positions 30 to 523 of the family's 1533-position model. The record is from RNAcentral.